CCUUGUACACACCGCCCGUCACACCAUGGGAGCGGGUUCUGCCAGAAGUAGUUAGCCUAACCGCAAGGAGGGCGAUUACCACGGCAGGGUUCGUGACAGGGGUG
Molecule: ribosomal RNA, 104 nt
Filed under: uncultured bacterium
Lineage: Bacteria
Description: partial 16S ribosomal RNA
Rfam family: Bacterial small subunit ribosomal RNA
Source: RNAcentral